This 888-nucleotide ribosomal RNA is filed under the name uncultured bacterium. RNAcentral's name for it is "bacterial SSU rRNA". It matches the Rfam family "Bacterial small subunit ribosomal RNA", at positions 8 to 917 of the family's 1533-position model. The record is from RNAcentral.
AGAGUUUGAUCCUGGCUCAGGACGAACGCUGGCGGCGUGCUUAACACAUGCAAGUCGAGCGGAAAGGCCCUUCGGGGUACUCGAGCGGCGAACGGGUGAGUAACACGUGAGUAACCUGCCCCUGACUCUGGGAUAAGCCUGGGAAACCGGGUCUAAUACCGGAUAUGACCACUCCGGGCAUCCGGUGGUGGUGGAAAGUUUUUUCGGUUGGGGAUGGGCUCGCGGCCUAUCAGCUUGUUGGUGGGGUGAUGGCCUACCAAGGCGACGACGGGUAGCCGGCCUGAGAGGGCGACCGGCUACACUGGGACUGAGACACGGCCCAGACUCCUACGGGAGGCAGCAGUGGGGAAUAUUGCGCAAUGGGCGGAAGCCUGACGCAGCGACGCCGCGUGGGGGAUGACGGCCUUCGGGUUGUAAACCUCUUUCGGCAGGGACGAAGUUGACGUGUACCUGUGGAAGAAGCGCCGGCUAACUACAUGCCAGCAGCCGCGGUAAUACGUAGGGCGCGAGCGUUGUCCGGAAUUAUUGGGCGUAAAGAGCUCGUAGGUGGCUUGUCGCGUCUGCCGUGAAAGCCCGUGGCUUAACUGCGGGUCUGCGGUGGAUACGGGCAGGCUAGAGGCUGGUAGGGGCAAGUGGAAUUCCUGGUGUAGCGGUGAAAUGCGCAGAUAUCAGGAGGAACACCGGUGGCGAAGGCGGCUUGCUGGGCCAGUUCUGACGCUGAGGAGCGAAAGCGUGGGGAGCGAACAGGAUUAGAUACCCUGUAGUCCACGCUGUAAACGUUGGGCGCUAGGUGUGGGGGUCUUCCAUGGUUUCCUGUGCCGUAGCUAACGCAUUAAGCGCCCCGCCUGGGGAGUACGGCCGCAAGGCUAAACUCAAUGAAUUGACGGA